GAUGAACGCUGGCGGCGUGCUUAACACAUGCAAGUCGAACGAAGCACUUAUGAUUGAGAUUUCGGUUGAUUGACUAAGUGACUUAGUGGCGGACGGGUGAGUAACGCGUGGGUAACCUGCCUCGUACAGGGGGAUAACAGUUAGAAAUGACUGCUAAUACCGCAUAACCCGCUAGGGCCGCAUGGCCCGGACGGAAAAGAUUUAUCGCUCUGAGAUGGACUCGCGUCUGAUUAGCCAGUUGGCGGGGUAACGGCCCACCAAGGCGACGAUCAGUAGCCGGACUGAGAGGUUGACCGGCCACAUUGGGACUGAGAUACGGCCCAG
This 324-nucleotide ribosomal RNA is filed under the name uncultured bacterium. RNAcentral describes it as "bacterial SSU rRNA". It matches the Rfam family "Bacterial small subunit ribosomal RNA", at positions 28 to 334 of the family's 1533-position model. The record is from RNAcentral.